UCUAUGGAGCCCAACAGAAACUGUCCACUGU
Molecule: non-coding RNA, 31 nt
Filed under: Mus musculus (house mouse)
Lineage: Eukaryota; Metazoa; Chordata; Mammalia; Rodentia; Muridae
Source: RNAcentral